RNAcentral lists this ribosomal RNA (253 nucleotides) under uncultured bacterium. Its description in RNAcentral is "partial 16S ribosomal RNA". It matches the Rfam family "Bacterial small subunit ribosomal RNA", at positions 524 to 776 of the family's 1533-position model. The record is from RNAcentral.
GACGGGGGGUGCAAGCGUUAUCCGGAAUCACUGGGCGUAAAGCGUCUGUAGGUGGUGAUGCAAGUCACUGGUGCAAAACUCUGGCUCAACCGGAGGAAAGCCAGUGAAACUGCAUGACUAGAGUGUGGGAGAGGUAGAAGGAAUUCCCUGAGUAGCGGUGAAAUGCGUAGAUACAGGGAAGAACACCGGAGGCGAAAGCGUUCUACUGGAACACAACUGACACUGAGCGACGAAAGCUAGGGGAUCGAAUGGG